RNA transcript from Homo sapiens (human), 4499 nucleotides. It is a transcript of the gene named YEATS domain containing 4, with no coding region annotated. The transcript has 8 exons. The record is from RefSeq and is marked reviewed. NCBI's taxonomy places the organism in Eukaryota, Metazoa, Chordata, Mammalia, Primates, Hominidae.
CUCUUUUCGCGGCGUUCUCCACCUGCGCGGGCCUGAAUGGCCUUCAGGAGCACAGUCGGCCUGAGGAGUUGACGGUUACUCACCGCCGUGAGCCCAAGUAACUCGCCCUCCUUCGGCUAGAAACCCUCCGCCUGGGCCCGCGCGACAGGAGCGCGGUCUCUGAGGGGAGCGGCGACCCCGCCAGCCCCGGUCUCUUUCCCUGGCGGCGGCGGCUUCUUCCGUGGGACAAUAUGUUCAAGAGAAUGGCCGAAUUUGGGCCUGACUCCGGCGGGAGAGUAAAGGGUGUUACUAUCGUUAAACCAAUAGUUUACGGUAAUGUUGCUCGGUAUUUUGGAAAGAAAAGAGAAGAAGAUGGGCACACUCAUCAGUGGACAGUAUAUGUGAAACCAUAUAGAAAUGAGGAUAUGUCAGCAUAUGUGAAGAAAAUCCAGUUUAAAUUACAUGAAAGCUAUGGCAAUCCUUUAAGAGUUGUUACUAAACCUCCAUAUGAAAUUACUGAAACAGGAUGGGGUGAAUUCGAAAUAAUCAUCAAAAUAUUUUUCAUUGACCCUAAUGAAAGACCUGUAACCCUGUAUCAUUUGCUAAAGCUGUUUCAAUCAGACACCAAUGCAAUGCUGGGGAAAAAGACAGUGGUUUCAGAGUUCUAUGAUGAAAUGAUAUUUCAAGACCCAACAGCAAUGAUGCAACAAUUAUUGACAACAUCUCGUCAGCUAACAUUAGGAGCCUAUAAGCAUGAAACAGAAUAAUCAAGAAUGAUUGAGAAUAGGAACGGCUCAAGACGUUCACAACUAAGGCCAUGAAUAGCUAGGAAUUCCCUUUAAGAGCAAAGGUUUUAUCAUCAGACAGACCUACUUGCAGGGAUUAGCAUAUAUUGAGGCUGGGAAUUGUUUGCCAUAUCCCUAUUUCCUGGAUAGCUACUGUGAAGUCCUGCAGUGUUGUCACUUUCUUAAUUGGACUUGUGAAGGGCCCAGAAAACUCCGUGCAGGAUAUUGUGAACCAUAGCACUGAGAAUGUCAUGAUGCAGAUGGAAGCUCCUGAUACCAGUGGUCCAGUAGUGUAUUCUAAGUACAAAUACUUUUUGUCUUUUUUUUUUUUUUUUUUUUUUUUUUUUUUUGAGAUGGACUUUUGCUCUUGUUGCCCAGGCUGGAGUGCAAUGGUGCAAUCUCAGCUCACCACAACCUCUGCCUCCCAGGUUCAAGCAAUUCUCCUGCCUCAGCCCCCUGAGUAGCUGGGAUUACAGGCAUGUGCCACCACGCCUGGCUGAUUUUGUAUUUUUAGUAGAGACAGGGUUUCUCCAUGUUGGUCAGGCUGGUCUCGAACUCCCGACCUCAGGUGAUCCGCCCACCUUGGCCUCCCAAAGUGUUGGGAUUACAGGCGUGAGCCACUGUGCCUGGCCACUUUUUGUCUUAACAAUGGUUCUCACUGAUUAUUAUGAGUUACGGAUUGUUAUGUUAACCACUGGGGUGGUGGGCUGAAUCGGAAGAGAACUAUCAAGAGUGUCUUAUGUGGAGAGGAUCUUGAGUUUUACAAUCUUCUGGGAAAACUACUCCUGGGAGAUACUGUUGGGCAUUACAAGAUCAUCGGAGUCAUCAAAGAUCCUUCGAACUUACUAGUGACCCUUGAAAAGUUGAGACUAAGGAGAGUGUUGAUCUAGUGCUAGUAACAUCUUACAUUUCUUUAGAUUUGAUACUAAUUUCUCAUUUUUAUAGAUGAGUGAAUUCAGUGUGGAUGACGGGAGAGAGAUUGUAAUGGUAUAAAUGCUUUGCUUGCUGUAGGUUGAGUAUAGCUUGCCAAAUGGGAGGUGUUAACACUUGUAAAUUUGUAGAUCAGAAAUUAUUGGGAAAUAAAGGAUGUGCGCAUGUGCGUGCGUGUGUGUGUGCAUGCAUGUGUUUGAAGUUUUUGAUACAUGUUGCCAGGUUGCCCUGUGAAAAGUUUACUCCAGUUUGCCCUGGCACCAGCAGGCUGUGAGGAUGCCCAUUUCCUCAGACAAAUUUCUCCAGUCAAGAGGCACCUUCCAGAGAAUUGUAUCAUGGUGAUACAAUUGAUGAUCCCCCAGCCUAUGGCCCAAGUAGUCUCCAGAACUGCAGGCUUGAGGCAGCUCAUCGCUCCAGCCUGAGUAGAUUCCUUGUCCAUCAAUGUGAAGUUAAAACUACAGACUAGACCUUUCAAUAUGCUCUCAUUCCUCUCACAGCUAUUUUUGGAGCAUCUAUUGUGUGUCAGGGGCCUUUUCCUGUCUUAGAGCUCGCCCAUCAAAAAUAGUGAGACUCACAGUUACACAUCAUUAGAAAUGCCAUAAUAUUUAGAAACUACUUAGGUCUUAGAGAACCCCAGUUUCAGAUUCUGUGAACUUGAGUAGGUUACUGGAUUUCGCUGAGGCUCGGUUUUCUCUUGUUUACAAUCGAGAUUUUAAUAUAUAUAUCAGACGGCUGACUUACACUGCCUGGCAUAUCUAGACACUGUAGAUAUUAGCAUAGGGAUUAACAGUGUAGGCUUUGGAGUCAAGUUACUUGGUUUGAAUCGUGGCUCCGUUGCACACUGGCUUUGUGAUCACAGGCAAGUUAUUCAACCUCUCUGUGCCUUACUUUCCUCAUGUUUAAAGUAGUCAUAAUCAUACUUGCAUCAUGGUGUUAUUCAGAAGAUCAACUGAGAGACGUAUGUAAAGUAUUUAGCAUAGGACUUAGAACCUAGUUAAUGCUCAAUUAAUAUGUUAUUUUUGGCCAGGUGUGGUGGCUUACGCCUAUAAUCCCAGCACUUUGGGAGACUGAGGUGGGCGGAUCCCUUGAGGCUAGGAGUUGGAGACCAGCCUGGCCAACAUGACGAAACCCCGCCUCUACCAAAAAUACAAAAAUUAGCCAGCCAUGGUGGUGCACACUUGUAGUCCCAGCUACUCGGGAGGCUGAGGCAGGAGAAUCGCUUGAACUCGGGAGGCAGAGGUUGCAGUGAGCCGAGAUUGUGCCACUGUACUCCAGCCUGGGCAACAGAGUGAGACUCUGUUUAAAAAAAAAAAAAGAUAUAUAUAUAUAUUAACAUGCUUCUUAUUGAGGUAUAAUUUACAUACUGUUAUGGACUGAAUUGUGUUCCCUCCAAAAUACAUAUGUUGAAGUCCUAAACCCCAGUAUCUCAGAAAAUAACUGUGUUUGGACAUAACAUCUAAACAUCUUUAGCAUGCAUGUGUGUAUCUAUAUGUAAUUAAAAUUAGGUCAUUAGGGUGGGCUUUAAUCCAAUAUGACUGGUGUCCUUACAAAAAUAGAAAUUUGAACACAGCCACAUACAGGAGGAAUAUGAUGUGAAGACAAAGGGAGAAGACAGCCAUCUAUAAGCUAAGGACAUGGACCUGGAACACAUCCUUCCCUCCCAGCCCUCAGACAGAACCAACUCUGUAGAUCAACCAACACCUUGACUUUCAGCCUCCAGAACUGUAAGAAAACUUUUCCUGUUUAAGCCACCCAGUCUGUGAAACUAUAUUAUGGCAGCCCUAGCAAACUAACACACAAACCAUAAAAUUCACUCACGUUAGCAUAUAAUUCAAUGGUUUUUAGUAAAUUUGCAGAGUUGUGCAACCACUACCACAAUCUGAUUUUAGAGUAUUUUUGUCUCCUCUAAAGAAGCCUUUUUGCCAUUUGCAGUCACUCCCUACUCCCACUUUCAGCUCCAGGCAACCACUCAUCUUCUUUGUACCUCAAUAGAUUUGCCUUUUCUGGGCUUUUCAUAUAAAUCAUCUCCACUGAAUAGGAAAUUCUAUAUAUUAAGAGUCAGCUCAUUCUAUAUUCUUCUCAGCUUCUUAUUAAAACUUCUUAUAAUGAGCCCAAAUCUACUGCCUUGUAACUUAUUCUACACAGUUAACAUAUUCCUAUCAUAGUUUAUUUUUAACAGAGGUCAGGCAAAAAUUAUUAUAUGUGCCACAUAAUUGUUGGAGUGAGGAUGGAAAUAUUUAGUCAAAAUGACCAUUGUCAUCAUAAUUUAAGAAAUAACCACUUUAUUUUUAGCAGUCGAUAAGGAAAAAGAUUGACAAAAGAAACUAUAAGCAAGCAUGCUGUUUUGAGUCGCCGGAGGAUAGAGACGGCCCAAGAAGAAUUUCAAGAGAACUGCUAAUGAGAAACCUUCCGUGGUGAGACUUGAACUGACAAGCUAUUCCCCCAGGCUCCUCGGGAACAUCUCAUAACUAAUCGGGACAUUCCAUCAAGACCACAUGCACAGGGCCACAGCCUAGACAGCAGAGCAUCCAAACCGCCAAAGAAAAUGUUGAGGCUGCACCAAUAAGGGACUUUGUGCAAUGCCUCUUUUAUUGAAAAAAUCUAUUUAAAUGAAAUCUUUCUAGGACAUUAUGUCAAAACUGCAACUGGAAACGUCUGCUUUUCUCACCUGGAAGAAUUGCCCCUAUUAAACCAUAGUAACUAUAAACAGUAAUUAUGUAUAGCUGUGCAUAAGCAUGCAAGUGUGUAUCUAUAGGUAACCAUUUAUUUAACAAUAUAUAUUAAGCACCUUGUGUGUACCAAGUA